RNA transcript from Quercus robur (English oak), 5408 nucleotides. It is a transcript of the gene named disease resistance protein RUN1-like, with no coding region annotated. The transcript has 14 exons. The record is from RefSeq and is a predicted model, not a curated record. Lineage: Eukaryota; Viridiplantae; Streptophyta; Magnoliopsida; Fagales; Fagaceae.
UCUCACAGACGCGGAGAGAGUGUACUAGUUACUUUUUCCGCAAGUCUUUUCUGAAGUCUUUCUCUCAUCAAAAAAGGGUGCUCUCCUCAGUCUCUCCUAUCUCAUUUCUCUCUCUCACAAACUCAGAUCAGAUCUUUACAACAGUCUGCUCAUAAAUCUUGAUGGCUCUUGUGAACGGCAAAGGAGCCUCAUCUUUCUCUUUCACCCACCAACCCAAGAACUUUGAUGUCUUCUUGAGUUUUAGAGGUGAAGAUACCCGUGAUGGUUUUAUUAGCCAUUUGUAUGAGGCUUUGCAUUUAAGGGGUAUUCACACCUUCAUCGAUGAUAAUCUCCAAAGGGGAGAAAAAAUUUCUACAGAGCUUCUGAAAACUAUUGAGAACUCAACAAUAUCAAUAAUUGUAUUCUCUGAAAACUAUGCAUCAUCCACUUGGUGUUUGGAUGAGCUAGCCAAGAUUGUUGAGUGCAAGAAGAAUGACCAAUUGGUGCGACCGAUUUUUUACAAUGUGGACCCAUCAGAUGUACGUAACCAAAAUGGAAAGUUUGGAAAAGCUCUAGCUAAAUAUGAAAAAAACAUUAAGCACAACAAGAAAGUACAAAGAUGGAGAAACGCUCUCCAAGAAGCAGCCAAUAUAUCUGGUUGGCAUUACCAACAUAGUGGCAGCGAGUCCAAAUUUAUCCAAGGAAUUGUUGAAGAGAUCUCAAAUUCUAAAUUAAAUCGCAAGCCAUUAUCUAUUGCUCGAUACCCUGUUGGAAUAAAUUAUCGUGUAAAGACCAUUCUUUCAGAUAUUGAGUCAAAUGAUGCUCCCAUGAUAGGGAUCUAUGGCCUUGGUGGAAUAGGUAAGACCACAAUUGCAAAAGCUAUUUUUAAUAGAAUUUGUGAUCAUUUUGAUGGAUUUUGUUAUCUAGAAAAUGUUAGAGAAAAAUCUGGGACAAAUAAUGGUGUAAUUGAACUACAAGAGAAACUUCUUUUUGAGAUCUUAAGGGAUAGAAAUUUAAAGGUGGGUAACAAAUCUAGAGGAGUCAAUAUGAUAAUGGAAAGACUUUCUUUUAAGAGGAUUCUCUUAGUUCUCGAUGAUGUGGAUAGAUGGGUCCAAAUAGAAAAUUUGCUUGGAGGAUGUGAUUGGUUUGCUUCUGGAAGCAAAAUCAUUAUAACAACAAGAGACAAACACUUGGGAGCUACUCUUGAAAAAUGUUUUUCAACGUACGAGGUUAAGGAAUUAGAUCAAGAUGAAGCUCUUGAACUCUUUAGUAUGCAUGCCUUCCAAAGCAACAAACACAAAAAAGAUUAUUUGGAACUUGCAAACCAAGUUAUAAAAUAUACCAAGGGACUUCCAUUAGCUCUAGUAAUAAUGGGCGCUGAUUUGUGUGGAAGAUCUAAACCUGAAUGGAAAAGUGCAAUCGAUAAGUAUGAAAAAAUUCCUAACAAAGAAAUUCAAAAAGUACUCGAAAUAAGUUAUGAAGGAUUGGAUGAAGCUGAACAAGAUAUUUUCCUCGAUAUUGCAUGUUUCUUUAAGGGAUUUCAUAAGAAGUAUGUCAUGGAUGUACUAGAUUCUUGCGAUUUACAUCCAAUUUAUGGAAUUCAAAAACUUAUUGAUAUGUGUCUAAUAACUGUUGAUCAAUAUGACAAAUUGUCAAUGCAUGACUUGCUGCAACAAAUGGGUAAGGAGAUUGUUCGACGGGAAUCACCACAACUACCUGGAGAGCGUAGUAGACUAUGGCAUUAUGAGGAUGUUCUUGAUGUACUAAUUGAAAAUACGGGGUCAAAAAAAGUUCGAGGCAUAAGGAUAUGCUCAGAUGAACCAUCAAAGAUUCAAUUAGAGCCUAAAUGUCUUGAAAAGAUGAAAAAUCUCAAGUUUCUUAUAGCUAGUAAUGUAGAGAUUUGUGCAAAUCUUGAAAAUAUUCCCAAUGGAUUAAGGGUGCUUGAUUGGCGUGGAUUUCCUUUAUCUUCCUUACCAUCCAAUUUUCAUCCUCAAAAGCUCACUGUACUUAACAUGCCAGAAAGUAGGGUUAUAUUGUACAAGCUUCUCGAGAGGAUACAGUGUAAAAGCUUGGUAUAUAUGAAUUUUCAAUCCUGUCAAUGCAUUAAGGAGUUGCCUGACUUAUCGAUCGCCACCCCAAACAUAAAGCAAUUGAAUCUUCGUGAAUGUAUGAAAUUAGUCAAGGUUCAUGACUCUAAUGGAUGUCUUGAUAAGCUUGAAAGUUGGGACCUUACGGGUUGCAUUGAACUUCAAAUUCUUCCAAGCUGCAUCAAGAUGAAAUCUCUUAAAUUUUUAAUUCUUUACGAGUGCAAUAGGUUUGAGAAGUUCCCUAAUAUUCCACAAGAAAUGGAAAAUUUAAAGUUCCUAAGUCUGGCAUACACUGCCAUUAGAGAGCUUCCUUCAUCAUUUGGGAAUCUCAUUGGGCUUGAGCGAUUAGAUAUAGGUUCCUAUUUCUAUUCAUGUCAUCUUCCAAGUAGCAUCUAUAAAUUGCAAUAUCUUCGCAAACUCAUUCUUCAUGGCAAUGUCCAAUUUGCAAAGGAUGUGGAGAUAGGUAGACAAGCACUAUGCAAUUCUUAUGGUGGCUUUUCAAAAUAUGGUUUUCUGAUGUUGAAUCUUGUAAAAAAUUUGUCUUCUUGUUUCCACCUCUCAAAGAAAUGUUUAUUAUCAGGGAGUGAAAAUUUGAACAUCCGAGAUAGCAUUAUGAGAUUCAAUGGAUUAGAUUUUCUUCUAAUUGAGGAUUCUAUGUUCCUUAAGAAAAUUCCGAAGCUUCCAGAAAGUAUAAGAUCUGUGUAUGUGUCAAACUGCAUCUCGUUGAAUUCAAAAUCAUUAAGAAAACUAUUUCUUCAGUUUGGAAGAAAUUUAGAGCUUUCACCAGAUAUGAAAUGUUCAGGUGUGAAAGGCAAUGUAUUUGUGGAUUCCCAUUCACAUCAGAUUGAUUAUUCUUCCCAGCUCUCCCUCUCCCAGUUCUUCCUAAUUGAAGAAGAGUUACGUUCAAAUCUAGAUGUGUAUUUGAUUGAUUUUGGAGAGAGAUAUAAUAUUAUAGUACCAGAAAAGAAGAUUCCAACGUGGUUCAACCAUCAAAGCAUUGAAAGCUCCAUAUCAUUCUGGGUGGGUCCAGAAUUUCCAACAUUUGCCUUUUGUAUUGCUUUUCAUCUAGUUUCAUUGAAAGACAGUUAUGCAAAUAAUGAUAAGUGCGGUUCUCUCCGUGAUGAUAUAAUUAGUUGGGUUUGUGUUGUCAACAUUUCCAUCAAUGGUCAUAUGCAACCUUUCAUGCGGCAGCCAAUCUUUCAGGGUUUGAAGUGUGAUCAUUUGUGGUUUUACGGUGUACCUCAAAGCCAAUUGCAGCAGAAAUUUGGAGACUUGUUGCAAGGUGAUCAGAAUCAUGUUGAGGUUUCAUGUAAAAUCUCUCAUUGGACAAGUGAAUUCGGAAAAUUUGCACCUGUCAUUGCAAGGAUGGGGGCACAUGUGGAAUGCAUUUGUUCUCCUCAAAAUUCCAUUAUCAUCCAUAACAACUCUCAAAAUGUUGAUGACAACUCUGACAACACUGAGCUCGCACCGCUACUAUAACCUGUCUCAACGGACUCAGACGCGGGAUAACCUGAACCUCCUCUAAUCCUUGAUGACACUAGUUUCUUUCCUUGACAUCUUAUUUAAGGCUUCCAGUGGAUAAAGCUAAUGGGUUUGACUUAAUUUUGGGUUUUCUAAAUUUGGGUAUCGACUCAACCGAUGGUGAUGUGUUUGAUUUGAGUUCUUCUUCAAUGGCCCAUCCCUCCAUAAAAAAUGACGCCAGCUUCAAUCCAUAGUCACCAUCGAAGAAACUAAGAAUCUCUUAAUCAAAUUUUGAAAAAAUAUGCCCAGGAUUAUUGUUCUAGAGAUCAAGCAGAAAACAAGAUGAAGUCAUAAGCAACCAAACCCCUCCAUUAUCAUGACUCUGUUCCGGUGACUAGCUAUAGGUGAAGAAAACGAGGGUUGCUUCUCUGAUGAUAGUGAAUGUCUGAGAACAAAUUGGACAUCAACAUUGGAAUUGAAAUGGCCAGACUGCUCAACCGGAGAUAACUGCUGUGGUUUAUGUCUAGGAUUCUUAUACCAAGGAGUGCUACCCCAGCUUUUAAUGGACAAAUAUCUCAAUGAUGUAAUGCUAGGGAGAUGCAUAAAGGAGAAGAAGAAUGAUUACAGUUUCAACAAUCAAGCAGGUAUAAAAUGUCGUUCAAUGAAAGAUUUGCAUUGCAAUAUGACAAAAAAACUUCUCAAGAAUCUUUCUAGAAGUUUAGUACUAUGAUAUGAAAACUCCUUUAACAGAGAGGGUUUACAUGUGAUGAAACAUGGCAAAUGAUCUCAGCUUACAUUGAUUGGGAUGCUUAUACAAAGGUGUGUUGUCAACUUAUUGUAGUCUUAGAUGUUAGUUUCAAUUAUAUGUGGCUAACAGUUUCUUUAUGUUGAAAUCUCCAGAAACAAUUUCAAACAGAACCGAAUUGAAACCAAAUUAUAAUGAUUUUUGCUUGAUUUAUGGAAAUCCAGCUUCUAAUAAGGUUGUAACAAAGCAGGUCAAGACAUUUGUUGUAAUGGUGUAGGGUAGAUUUUGACAAGAUUAUAAGCAGUCUGCAACCUUGUUUAUUUUUUUCCCUCUUUCAAAUCUUUGGACUUUAGUCAGUGCGCAAUUAGUUUUAGGUGUUCAGUGUGUCUAAAUAUAUGUGUGCUACUUCAUUUUGCAUUGAUUGCAAUAGCAUAUUCUCAAGCGUGUGGAGAUUUGUAAGUAUAUGAGUUAUAUAUUGUAAAGUAUCAUCUUUACAAGUGUGUGGAGAUUUUUAAGAUGUAUAACAAUGGUUAAGCUUGUUUUAUACUAAGGACAAUGUCUCAAUAGCCUCUUAACUUGGAAAUUUCAUUGAGAGGGCACAAAUCUUCUGAAAAAAUUGACCUAGUAAGCAUCUGAAUAUUUGUCACCACCUUACAUGUAAGACAAAAAAAAUGCUCAAUGGUCUGUUUGAUUAUCUACCUAUUGACUGUAACUACUCUUUUUACAGCUUCAAAAUGAUGCAGUCUCAUUCAGGUUAAUUGGACAUGAAGUUCCAAUCAGCUAAAGCUAUUCAAGAGACGAUUCUGAGUUCCAAGUACUCCAUUAGAGACCAGUAUUCUAAAAUGGAUGAGACCUCAAAAAACAUGCAUUUAUCCCAAGAAAGAAACCAAUGUGGUGUAGUUUAUGAUAUGCAUAGGAAUGCUGUGGUCAAGGAAAUGGAUCUUGAUCAAAUGUCUGCGACCUCAAAUCUGGAAGUCAUGACCAGGACCUCAUUUAUCGUUAUACAAGUUGAAAGAUGAACGUUGAAUAUUGUACUGUACUUGGGCAUAAAAAGCUGUAAUUGUAAUUGUAUAUAAUACAAUCUGGAUUCUUUUAACCUUUUUAAUAUCAAAUUUUCACUGCAGUUUUUUUGUCAA